AGUGAACGCUGGCGGUAGGCCUAACACAUGCAAGUCGAACGGCAGCACAGUAAGAGCUUGCUCUUACGGGUGGCGAGUGGCGGACGGGUGAGGAAUACAUCGGAAUCUACUUUUUCGUGGGGGAUAACGUAGGGAAACUUACGCUAAUACCGCAUACGACCUACGGGUGAAAGCAGGGGAUCUUCGGACCUUGCGCGAUUGAAUGAGCCGAUGUCGGAUUAGCUAGUUGGCGGGGUAAAGGCCCACCAAGGCGACGAUCCGUAGCUGGUCUGAGAGGAUGAUCAGCCACACUGGAACUGAGACACGGUCCAGACUCCUACGGGAGGCAGCAGGGGGGAAUAUUGGACAAUGGGCGCAAGCCUGAUCCAGCCAUACCGCGUGGGUGAAGAAGGCCUUCGGGUUGUAAAGCCCUUUUGUUGGGAAAGAAAAGCAGCAGGUUAAUACCCCGCUGUUCGGACGGUACCCAAAGAAUAAGCACCGGCUAACUUCGU
RNAcentral lists this ribosomal RNA (491 nucleotides) under uncultured bacterium. Its description in RNAcentral is "partial 16S ribosomal RNA". It matches the Rfam family "Bacterial small subunit ribosomal RNA", at positions 29 to 506 of the family's 1533-position model. The record is from RNAcentral.